Non-coding RNA from Plectosphaerella cucumerina, 72 nucleotides. The record is from the annotation of a GenBank genome assembly. Lineage: Eukaryota; Fungi; Ascomycota; Sordariomycetes; Glomerellales; Plectosphaerellaceae.
GCGGCUAUGGUGUAGUGGUUAGCAUUAAUGAUUUCCAUUCAUUAGAGCCUGGUUCGAUUCCUGGUGGCCGCA